GUGGGACACCGGCCUGCAGAGGGUACUCCGGAGAGCUAAUUCCCAGGAUGACCAGCAGGAGGUGCCGCACCAGUGAGUCAGCGCGUUGCUACAGGAUCCCAUGCCAUUUUAUUUUUUUGUACAUUAUUUUCAAUAAGAUGUCUAAGUCCGUGGUCCUCAUGGUGAAAUUAAUACAUAAUGGGAACUCCGUAGAAUUCAGCUUCAGUGAAAUGGUUUCAAAACUAUUCUUCUGCUAGAAAAAAUAUUCACAGUCUGAAUUAUAUGGAGAAGGACUCUGUUGUAAGAGUCAACCCAACGUUUAAAUAUGUUGCUUUUCAAAAGGAGACAUUGGGUAAAGAGUACACAGAUCAACUGUGUCUGGCUGUCAGCAUGAGGGAUCCAGUUUCACUUUGAGUUUAGUUCGGUCCGUUCUCCCUAGGACGUCAGCAAGGACUGUGGAUGUAAACGGCUCAACUCCAGGCGGUGGAGUGUUUCACUGCUAUUUAGUAUCCUCUUUUGGACAAUGGAGCUGCACUGAGGGGCUCUGGAAGCCGGGCACAGACAGACUAUAUCGAACAAAAAUUGCUAUGAUACAGGUCCUUUGAGGAGAGAGUGUAUAAGGGUGGAAAAGCAGUGAUUUCAAAGGACCACACAAAGAACACAGAAGAGCCAUGAUUUUCUAUUUUGCAAAAAAGGAAUAGAAUAUCUCAUUUUUACAUACCUUAUGCUGACACUUCUGAGAUAAGCAUUUAUUUCUAUUAGUGUAAAAUAAAUUCUUUCUAAUACAGCUAAUACCCAGUCUCAGAAAAUAAGCCGUUCAUGUCAUCACAAUGCAAUAGGACUGACUAGCUGAACUACUGGAGUGCUUUGGGCCAACCUAAAUGCUUGUACA
Chelonia mydas (Green sea turtle) is the source of this 871-nucleotide long non-coding RNA. RefSeq lists it as uncharacterized. The transcript is spliced from 2 exons. NCBI's taxonomy places the organism in Eukaryota, Metazoa, Chordata, Testudines, Cheloniidae. The record is from RefSeq and is a predicted model, not a curated record.